Poecilia reticulata (guppy) is the source of this 83-nucleotide non-coding RNA. The record is from RefSeq and is a predicted model, not a curated record. Lineage: Eukaryota; Metazoa; Chordata; Actinopteri; Cyprinodontiformes; Poeciliidae.
GUCAGAGUUUGUGAACUCUCUUUGCAUACCUGUUUAUUUUGGCAAGCGCCUGGGACACGCUCUCUGCCGACCGUGCACCUGCA